This 429-nucleotide ribosomal RNA is filed under the name uncultured bacterium. Its description in RNAcentral is "bacterial SSU rRNA". It matches the Rfam family "Bacterial small subunit ribosomal RNA", at positions 355 to 776 of the family's 1533-position model. The record is from RNAcentral.
UGGGGAAUAUUGGACAAUGGGGGCAACCCUGAUCCAGCGAUGCCGCGUGAGUGAAGAAGGCCUUCGGGUCGUAAAGCUCUUUAGGUUGGGAAGAAGGAUAUGGGGGGAUAAUCCUCAUAUUUUGACGGUACCGACAGAAUAAGCACCGGCAAACUCUGUGCCAGCAGCCGCGGUAAUACAGAGGGUGCAAGCGUUAAUCGGAGUUACUGGGCGUAAAGGGCGCGUAGGCGGUGAUAUGAGUGUGAUGUGAAAGCCCCGGGCUUAACCUGGGAAGUGCAUCGCAAACGAUAUGACUGGAGUAGAUGAGAGGGUGGCGGAAUUUCCGGUGUAGCGGUGAAAUGCGUAGAGAUCGGAAGGAACGUCGAUGGCGAAGGCAGCCACCUGGCAUCAUACUGACGCUGAGGCGCGAAAGCGUGGGGAGCGAACAGG